RNAcentral lists this ribosomal RNA (253 nucleotides) under uncultured bacterium. RNAcentral describes it as "partial 16S ribosomal RNA". It matches the Rfam family "Bacterial small subunit ribosomal RNA", at positions 524 to 776 of the family's 1533-position model. The record is from RNAcentral.
UACGUAGGGGGCAAGCGUUGUCCGGAAUCAUUGGGCGUAAAGAGCGUGUAGGCGGCUCGAUAAGUCUGCUGUUAAAGUCCAGGGCUCAACCCUGGAAGGCCGGUGGAAACUGUCGGGCUAGAGUCCGGAAGAGGCGAGUGGAAUUCCCGGUGUAGCGGUGAAAUGCGCAGAUAUCGGGAGGAACACCAAUGGCGAAGGCAGCUCGCUGGGACGGUACUGACGCUGAGACGCGAAAGCGUGGGGAGCAAACAGG